This 25-nucleotide non-coding RNA is filed under the name Mus musculus (house mouse). The record is from RNAcentral. Lineage: Eukaryota; Metazoa; Chordata; Mammalia; Rodentia; Muridae.
GGAGUCAAAACAAUUCAGGUCUUUC